AGUUGCGUAGGUGGCAUGUAAAGCGAACAGUGAAAGAUCACGGCUCAACCGUGGGUACAUUGUUCGAACUCACAAGCUUGAGCACGAGAGAGGUACCUGGAAUUCCUAGUGUAGGAGUGAAAUCCGUAGAUAUUAGGAGGAACACCGAUGGCGUAGGCAGGGUACUGGCUCGUUGCUGACACUAAGGCACGAAAGCGUGGGGAGCGAACGGGAUUAGAUACCCCGGUAGUCCACGCCGUAAACUAUGGAUGCUAGCUGUUAGGAGUAUCGACCCUCCUAGUAGCGAAGCUAACGCGUUAAGCAUCCCGCCUGUGGAGUACGGUCGCAAGACUAAAACAUAAAGGAAUUGACGGGGACCCGCACAAGCGGUGGAGCGUGUUGUUUAAUUCGACGGUAAGCGAAGAACCUUACCCAGGCUUGACAUCCUGCCAAGCUUUCCGAAAGGAAAGUGUGCCUUCGGGCCGCAGUGACAGGUGAUGCAUGGCCGUCGUCAGCUCGUGUCGUGAGAUGUUUGGUUAAGUCCAUCAACGAGCGCAACCCUUGUAGCCAGUUGGAUUUUCUCUGGCUAGACUGCCCCCGGUAACGGGGAGGAAGGAGGGGAUGAUGUCAGGUC
This 613-nucleotide ribosomal RNA is filed under the name uncultured bacterium. RNAcentral's name for it is "bacterial SSU rRNA". It matches the Rfam family "Bacterial small subunit ribosomal RNA", at positions 564 to 1191 of the family's 1533-position model. The record is from RNAcentral.